GAUGAAUGCUGGCGGCGUGCCUAACACAUGCAAGUCGAGCGGCAGCGAGGGGUGCUUGCACCCUGUCGGCGAGCGGCGAACGGCUGAGUAACGCGUAGGAAUUUGCCCCAAAGUGAGGAAUAACUGCCCGAAAGGGUAGCUAAUGCCGCAUAUGGUCUUCGGAUUAAAGGAUUUAUCCGCCUUGGGAGAAGCCUGCGUUGGAUUAGGUUGUUGGUAGGGUAAUGGCCUACCAAGCCGACGAUCCAUAGCUGGUCUGAGAGGAUGAUCAGCCAGACUGGAACUGAGACGCGGUCCAGACUCCUACGGGAGGCAGCAGUGAGGAAUCUUCCACAAUGGGCGAAAGCCUGAUGGAGCAACGCCGCGUGAAGGAUGAAGGCCUUCGGGUUGUAAACUUCUUUUAUGAGUGAAGAAUAUGACGGUAACUCAUGAAUAAGCACCGGCUAACUACGUG
This 451-nucleotide ribosomal RNA is filed under the name uncultured bacterium. RNAcentral's name for it is "partial 16S ribosomal RNA". It matches the Rfam family "Bacterial small subunit ribosomal RNA", at positions 28 to 507 of the family's 1533-position model. The record is from RNAcentral.